Molecule: ribosomal RNA, 1536 nt
Filed under: Klebsiella pneumoniae
Lineage: Bacteria; Pseudomonadati; Pseudomonadota; Gammaproteobacteria; Enterobacterales; Enterobacteriaceae
Also listed under: 1 other name
Description: bacterial SSU rRNA
Rfam family: Bacterial small subunit ribosomal RNA
Source: RNAcentral
UUGAAGAGUUUGAUCAUGGCUCAGAUUGAACGCUGGCGGCAGGCCUAACACAUGCAAGUCGAGCGGUAGCACAGAGAGCUUGCUCUCGGGUGACGAGCGGCGGACGGGUGAGUAAUGUCUGGGAAACUGCCUGAUGGAGGGGGAUAACUACUGGAAACGGUAGCUAAUACCGCAUAAUGUCGCAAGACCAAAGUGGGGGACCUUCGGGCCUCAUGCCAUCAGAUGUGCCCAGAUGGGAUUAGCUAGUAGGUGGGGUAACGGCUCACCUAGGCGACGAUCCCUAGCUGGUCUGAGAGGAUGACCAGCCACACUGGAACUGAGACACGGUCCAGACUCCUACGGGAGGCAGCAGUGGGGAAUAUUGCACAAUGGGCGCAAGCCUGAUGCAGCCAUGCCGCGUGUGUGAAGAAGGCCUUCGGGUUGUAAAGCACUUUCAGCGGGGAGGAAGGCGUUAAGGUUAAUAACCUUGGCGAUUGACGUUACCCGCAGAAGAAGCACCGGCUAACUCCGUGCCAGCAGCCGCGGUAAUACGGAGGGUGCAAGCGUUAAUCGGAAUUACUGGGCGUAAAGCGCACGCAGGCGGUCUGUCAAGUCGGAUGUGAAAUCCCCGGGCUCAACCUGGGAACUGCAUUCGAAACUGGCAGGCUAGAGUCUUGUAGAGGGGGGUAGAAUUCCAGGUGUAGCGGUGAAAUGCGUAGAGAUCUGGAGGAAUACCGGUGGCGAAGGCGGCCCCCUGGACAAAGACUGACGCUCAGGUGCGAAAGCGUGGGGAGCAAACAGGAUUAGAUACCCUGGUAGUCCACGCCGUAAACGAUGUCGAUUUGGAGGUUGUGCCCUUGAGGCGUGGCUUCCGGAGCUAACGCGUUAAAUCGACCGCCUGGGGAGUACGGCCGCAAGGUUAAAACUCAAAUGAAUUGACGGGGGCCCGCACAAGCGGUGGAGCAUGUGGUUUAAUUCGAUGCAACGCGAAGAACCUUACCUGGUCUUGACAUCCACAGAACUUUCCAGAGAUGGAUUGGUGCCUUCGGGAACUGUGAGACAGGUGCUGCAUGGCUGUCGUCAGCUCGUGUUGUGAAAUGUUGGGUUAAGUCCCGCAACGAGCGCAACCCUUAUCCUUUGUUGCCAGCGGUUAGGCCGGGAACUCAAAGGAGACUGCCAGUGAUAAACUGGAGGAAGGUGGGGAUGACGUCAAGUCAUCAUGGCCCUUACGACCAGGGCUACACACGUGCUACAAUGGCAUAUACAAAGAGAAGCGACCUCGCGAGAGCAAGCGGACCUCAUAAAGUAUGUCGUAGUCCGGAUUGGAGUCUGCAACUCGACUCCAUGAAGUCGGAAUCGCUAGUAAUCGUAGAUCAGAAUGCUACGGUGAAUACGUUCCCGGGCCUUGUACACACCGCCCGUCACACCAUGGGAGUGGGUUGCAAAAGAAGUAGGUAGCUUAACCUUCGGGAGGGCGCUUACCACUUUGUGAUUCAUGACUGGGGUGAAGUCGUAACAAGGUAACCGUAGGGGAACCUGCGGUUGGAUCACCUCCUU